Molecule: non-coding RNA, 78 nt
Organism: Schistosoma curassoni
Lineage: Eukaryota; Metazoa; Platyhelminthes; Trematoda; Strigeidida; Schistosomatidae
Source: Rfam
AGCUUUCUGUAUCCGUGCUGAGAUUUCAUCACACACCAAACCACAAGAGUUGAUCAAACAUCCAUGACAAGUAAAGCG